Molecule: ribosomal RNA, 459 nt
Filed under: uncultured bacterium
Lineage: Bacteria
Description: partial 16S ribosomal RNA
Rfam family: Bacterial small subunit ribosomal RNA
Source: RNAcentral
CCUACGGGAGGCAGCAGUGAGGAAUAUUGGUCAAUGGCCGAGAGGCUGAACCAGCCAAGUCGCGUGAGGGAAGAAUGUCCCAUGGAUUGUAAACCUCUUUUGUCAGGGAGCAAAGUCACCCACGUGUGGGUGUUGGAGAGUACCUGAAGAAAAAGCAUCGGCUAACUCCGUGCCAGCAGCCGCGGUAAUACGGAGGAUGCGAGCGUUAUCCGGAUUUAUUGGGUUUAAAGGGUGCGUAGGCGGGUUAUCAAGUCAGCGGUAAAAUCGUGGAGCUCAACUCCAUCCAGCCGUUGAAACUGAUGGUCUUGAGUGGGCGAGAGGUAUGCGGAAUGCGUGGUGUAGCGGUGAAAUGCAUAGAUAUCGCGCAGAACUCCGAUUGCGAAGGCAGCAUACCGGCGCCCGACUGACGCUGAAGCACGAAAGCGUGGGUAUCGAACAGGAUUAGAUACCCUUGUAGUC